RNAcentral lists this ribosomal RNA (253 nucleotides) under uncultured bacterium. RNAcentral describes it as "partial 16S ribosomal RNA". It matches the Rfam family "Bacterial small subunit ribosomal RNA", at positions 524 to 776 of the family's 1533-position model. The record is from RNAcentral.
UACAGAGGUCUCAAGCGUUGUUCGGAUUCAUUGGGCGUAAAGGGUGCGUAGGCGGCGCGGUAAGUCGGGUGUGAAAUUUCGAGGCUUAACUUCGAAACUGCAUUCGAUACUGCCGCGCUUGAGGACUGGAGAGGAGACUGGAAUUUACGGUGUAGCGGUGAAAUGCGUAGAUAUCGUAAGGAAGACCAGUGGCGAAGGCGGGUCUCUGGACAGUUCCUGACGCUGAGGCACGAAGGCCAGGGGAGCAAACGGG